This 27-nucleotide non-coding RNA is filed under the name Rattus norvegicus (Norway rat). Lineage: Eukaryota; Metazoa; Chordata; Mammalia; Rodentia; Muridae. The record is from RNAcentral.
UAACAGUUUAUCUGUUCACAUAACCCC